AGUGAACGCUGGCGGUAGGCCUAACACAUGCAAGUCGAACGGCAGCACAGUAAGAGCUUGCUCUUACGGGUGGCGAGUGGCGGACGGGUGAGGAAUACAUCGGAAUCUACUUUUUCGUGGGGGAUAACGUAGGGAAACUUACGCUAAUACCGCAUACGACCUACGGGUGAAAGCAGGGGAUCUUCGGACCUUGCGCGAUUGAAUGAGCCGAUGUCGGAUUAGCUAGUUGGCGGGGUAAAGGCCCACCAAGGCGACGAUCCGUAGCUGGUCUGAGAGGAUGAUCAGCCAAACUGGAACUGAGACACGGUCCAGACUCCUACGGGAGGCAGCAGUGGGGAAUAUUGGACAAUGGGCGCAAGCCUGAUCCAGCCAUACCGCGUGGGUGAAGAAGGCCUUCGGGUUGUAAAGCCCUUUUGUAAGGAAAGAAAAGCAGCAGGUUAAUACCCCGCUGUUCUGACGGUACCCAAAGAAUAAGCACCGGCUAACUUCGUG
RNAcentral lists this ribosomal RNA (492 nucleotides) under uncultured bacterium. RNAcentral's name for it is "partial 16S ribosomal RNA". It matches the Rfam family "Bacterial small subunit ribosomal RNA", at positions 29 to 507 of the family's 1533-position model. The record is from RNAcentral.